Molecule: transfer RNA, 58 nt
Filed under: Spiroplasma apis B31
Lineage: Bacteria; Bacillati; Mycoplasmatota; Mollicutes; Entomoplasmatales; Spiroplasmataceae
Description: tRNA-Ser (CGA) (tRNA-Ser-CGA-1-1)
Rfam family: transfer-messenger RNA
About the family: Bacterial tmRNA, also known as 10Sa RNA or SsrA, is named for its dual tRNA and mRNA-like properties. Its role is to liberate the mRNA from a stalled ribosome. To accomplish this part of the tmRNA is used as a reading frame that ends in a translation stop signal.
Source: RNAcentral
GUAGACGUUAUGGUUAGGAGUAUUUUGGACGCGGGUUCGAUUCCCGCCAUCUCCACCA